RNAcentral lists this long non-coding RNA (1419 nucleotides) under Homo sapiens (human). RNAcentral describes it as "LNC_000443". The record is from RNAcentral. Lineage: Eukaryota; Metazoa; Chordata; Mammalia; Primates; Hominidae.
CUAGAAUGGCACUUCCUGGCAAACCAACCUGCAGACAUCCCCUGACGUGGACACGGGAGAUAUGGGGGGUAAUUUUUCAGAGAAGGGAGAAGGACAAUCCAGGUCGCUGUCCUUUUCCGUGGAGCAGAGGGGCGCCCGCAGAACCCUACUCUUCAGUUUUGCAGAUGUGCUGUCCUCAAAGACAUCGUCGUCUCCCAUCUCGUCAGAGCAGAAGCCCAUACUCCCUGCCAGCCCGCUGGAGGACUUGGCAGUGUGCAGGCGAGCAGCGCAGCUCUCCAGCUCAUGGAACCUGUGCAGGCUGCUGGCGCUCAAGCCGUGCGAGAGUGAGAACAGGUACUGGAGCAGUUGCCGGCUUCGGGACGUGGCCUCACCAUCCGCCUUCUCUUCCAGCAGCAGGCCGGGCCUGCCCCCCUUGCCAGCUUCCACCUCUGAGGCAGUUGAGCGACCGGCAGAAAGGCAUGAAACACAAGAAUGUUUGGAAUUGCCAAGAGGUUUGUGGUUCAGGGUUCUUUUUUCUUUAUGAUGAAACCUGUUAGUUCUGAGACACGUAUCUUGAGGGAGUAUUAAUUUCCCUUCAGAACAAGUUCUUUCCACAUAGGCAAAACUUUCUGAAGUAUCCUGCGCCUUCUCACCCACAUCAUUGAGGGACCUUGAGAACUUUAGUGUUCUUCUGGCUUUGGUAUUCUUAGCAGGCUUCAAGGCCUGGGCCCAUUCUGAACCAAAGGAAUUUCUCUUUGACGCCUGUAAUGUGUCCUUACAGAUAACUGUCACAGUGAGCCCUUGUGUCAGAGAACUCUGGCAGUGAGGAGCUUUCGAGACAACAGCAGACUGCACGGAACUGUGGUGACAACACUCAGAAAACACUGCACUGGAACUGCAUGCAGAACAGUGGGAUAAAAGCACAGAAAGUAAAAACAAUUUUAAAAGAGAAUAGACAUCAUAGUGAAGAAAUGAGACUAGCAUGGGUAACUUGGUGAGCAAACCACACAUAAAACUCGCCAACUGUUUAGACCAAAGGCAGAUUGAUUAAGCAAAUGGAAAUUCAAGAACCUACAGACACUAAUGCUUAUUUCUGGCUGCACACUGAUCAUGGCAGCAUCUGAAGCAGAGUGUUACCUGCAGAUGUCCUGGCUGGAUGGCGUGAUAGAAGUGCGAGAGAAGGAGGACACCGGAGCCGGAGCUGAUGCUGACGGAGGACUCCCAGCCUGCAAUGACAGACCUGUGGUCAGUGUUCAGACAUCUAUUUGUUGCUGUUUUAUUCUGAUGUUUCCCUCAGAGCCUUUUCAAUCAGCUACAGGCCAGAAGGAAUCAGAACCCCAUGGAAAAGGGCUAUGCCAGGUACUUUGGGGCACAGGCUUCUAAAUGACAUUGCUUAAACAACUUUCAGACCAUACCAGUGGCCUAAGUCAGAAUUUCCAG